AGAACGAACGCUGGCGGCAGGCUUAACACAUGCAAGUCGAACGCCCCGCAAGGGGAGUGGCAGACGGGUGAGUAACGCGUGGGAACGUACCCUUCGGUUCGGAACAACUCCGGGAAACUGGAGCUAAUACCGGAUACGUCCUGCCCCCUUAAACAAGGGUGGGAGAAAGAUUUAUCGCCGAGGGAUCGGCCCGCGUCGGAUUAGCUAGUUGGUGGAGUAACGGCCCACCAAGGCGACGAUCCGUAGCUGGUCUGAGAGGAUGAUCAGCCACACUGGGACUGAGACACGGCCCAGACUCCUACGGGAGGCAGCGAGUGGGGAAUAUUGGUCAAGUGGGCGAAAGCCUGAACCAGCCAUGCCGCGUGAGUGAAGAAGGCCUUAGGGUUGUAAAGCUUCUUCAGGCGGGACGAUAAGUGGACGGUACCCGCGAAGAACGAACGCCCCGGUACUAACCGUUCCGUGACCAGCACGCCGGAC
Molecule: ribosomal RNA, 477 nt
Filed under: uncultured soil bacterium
Lineage: Bacteria
Description: bacterial SSU rRNA
Rfam family: Bacterial small subunit ribosomal RNA
Source: RNAcentral